CCUACGGGAGGCAGCAGUGAGGAAUAUUGGUCAAUGGGCGCAAGCCUGAACCAGCCAAGUCGCGUGAGGGAUUAAGGCCCUGCGGGUCGUAAACCUCUUUUGCCGGGGAGCAGUGGUCCGGACGCGUCCGGACCGGGAGAGUACCCGGAGAAAAAGCAUCGGCAAACCCCGUGCCAGCAGCCGCGGUAAUACGGAGGAUGCGAGCGUUAUCCGGAGUUAUUGGGUUUAAGGGGUGCGUGCGGGGGCAUUUAGGACGGCGGUAAAAUGUCGGGGUUCAACCCCGGCCUGCCGUCGGAACUGGGUGCCUUGAGUGGGCGAGAGGUAUGCGGAAUGCGUGGUGUAGCGGUGAAAUGCAUAGAUAUCACGCAGAACCCCGAUUGCGAAGGCAGCAUACCGGCGCCCUACUGACGCUGAGGCACGAAAGUGCGGGUAUCGAACAGGAUUAGAUACCCGAGUAGUC
This 460-nucleotide ribosomal RNA is filed under the name uncultured bacterium. RNAcentral's name for it is "partial 16S ribosomal RNA". It matches the Rfam family "Bacterial small subunit ribosomal RNA", at positions 338 to 795 of the family's 1533-position model. The record is from RNAcentral.